Molecule: ribosomal RNA, 460 nt
Filed under: uncultured bacterium
Lineage: Bacteria
Description: partial 16S ribosomal RNA
Rfam family: Bacterial small subunit ribosomal RNA
Source: RNAcentral
CCUACGGGUGGCAGCAGUGAGGAAUAUUGGUCAAUGGGCGAGAGCCUGAACCAGCCAAGCCGCGUGAAGGAUGACGGUCCUACGGGUUGUAAACUCCGUUUGUCGGGGAGCUAUUGAGUCCACGUGUGGGCUUAGCGAGAGUACCUUAAGAAAAAGCAUCGGCUAACACCGUGCCAGCAGCCGCGGUAAUACGGAGGAUGCGAGCGUUAUCCGGAUUUAUUGGGUUUAAAGGGUGCGUAGGCGGAAUAUCAAGUUAGCGGUAAAAAUUCGGGGCUCAACCCCGUCGUGCCGUUGAAACUGAUGUUCUUGAGUGGGCGAGAGGUAUGCGGAAUGCGUGGUGUAGCGGUGAAAUGCAUAGAGAUCACGCAGAACUCCGAUUGCGAAGGCAGCAUACCGGCGCCCAACUGACGCUGAAGCACGAAAGCGUGGGUAUCGAACAGGAUUAGAUACCCCAGUAGUC